This 628-nucleotide ribosomal RNA is filed under the name uncultured bacterium. RNAcentral describes it as "bacterial SSU rRNA". It matches the Rfam family "Bacterial small subunit ribosomal RNA", at positions 56 to 731 of the family's 1533-position model. The record is from RNAcentral.
UGCAGUCGAGCGCACUCUUCGGAGUGAGCGGCGGACGGGUUAGUAACGCGUGGGAACAUACCUUUCGGUAAGGAAUAGCCACUGGAAACGGUGAGUAAUACCUUAUACGCCCUUCGGGGGAAAGAUUUAUCGCCGAGAGAUUGGCCCGCGUUAGAUUAGAUAGUUGGUGGGGUAACGGCCUACCAAGUCUACGAUCUAUAGCUGGUUUUAGAGGAUGAUCAGCAACACUGGGACUGAGACACGGCCCAGACUCCUACGGGAGGCAGCAGUGGGGAAUCUUGGACAAUGGGCGCAAGCCUGAUCCAGCCAUGCCGCGUGAGUGAUGAAGGCCUUAGGGUCGUAAAGCUCUUUCGCCAGAGAUGAUAAUGACAGUAUCUGGUAAAGAAACCCCGGCUAACUCCGUGCCAGCAGCCGCGGUAAUACGGAGGGGGUUAGCGUUGUUCGGAAUUACUGGGCGUAAAGCGUACGUAGGCGGACCAUUAAGUUGGGGGUGAAAUCCCGGGGCUCAACCCCGGAACUGCCUCCAAAACUGCUGGUCUUGAGUUCGAGAGAGGUGAGUGGAAUUCCGAGUGUAGAGGUGAAAUUCGUAGAUAUUCGGAGGAACACCAGUGGCGAAGGCGGCUCACUG